UACGUAGGCAGCGAGCGUUGUUCGGAUUUACUGGGCGUAAAGCGUGCGUAGGCGGUGGUCCAAGUCUGGUGUGAAAUCUCCCGGCUCAACUGGGAGGGUGCGCCGGAAACUGGGCCGCUGGAGUACGGGAGAGGCAAGCGGAAUUCCAGGUGUAGCGGUGAAAUGCGUAGAUAUCGAGAGGAACACCUGCGGCGAAGGCGGGUUGCUGGGCUGAUACUGACGCUGAGGCGCGAAAGCCAGGGGAGCGAACGGG
Molecule: ribosomal RNA, 253 nt
Filed under: uncultured bacterium
Lineage: Bacteria
Description: partial 16S ribosomal RNA
Rfam family: Bacterial small subunit ribosomal RNA
Source: RNAcentral